UUUUAAUUUAAAAACUUUUUGCCUCAUUUCACCAGGACCCUGGCUUGGGGAGCCUCCCUCAUGGUGGGACUCCUGGCUUUGGAUUUCACCUUCUUUCCCCUUCCAAGUGGUGUAGGUAAUGGGCCAUGGGGGCUGGAGCUGGACUUGGCUAAGCUUCCAAGGCCCUCCUGGAGGGCCAAGAGUUGGGCCAGGCUCUGAGGUGUGGGGGAUUCUCCCGUGCCCCGCACCGAAUGAGUUCUGUGAGUGAUGGGGUACUGUGGGCUUCAGGUUGGAGUGGGACUAGUGCCUCAAGGCAGCUUGCAGAUCUUUCAGCCUGAGGGCGAGGCAGGAGGCAGGAUGGAAAGCAACCCUGAGGGGCCUCCCCAGAGCCUUACGCUGCCUGUGCUGGAGCCAUGAAUCUGGAGAAGGAGAAGUAGGAGAAAACCUUGAGGAGUCCCAGGACACCAAAGCUCUGCACUUUGCCAAGCUCCUGAAGCAGAAGAGGAUCACCCUGGGCUAUAUCCAGGCCCAGGUGGGGCUCACCCUGGGGGUGAGCCACCAUGCCCAGCCUCUGGGGGCUCUAUUUGGAAAGGUGUUCAGCCAGGUGACCAUCUGCUGCUUUGAGGCUCUGCAGCUCAGUUUCAAGAACAUGUGUAAGCUGCCACCUUUGCUGCAGAAGUGGGUGGAAGAAGCUGACAACAACAAAGAUCUUCAGUAGAUCUGUAAAACAGAGACCGUCAUGCAGGCCCGAAAGAGAUGGUAAACCAGUACCGAGAACUGAGUGGGAGGCAACCUGGAGAACUUGUUCCUGCCGCGCCUGAAACACACUGCAACAGAUCUCCAGCUUGGGCUGGAGAGGAUGUGGCCCGAGUGUGGUUCUGUAACUGGUGCCAGAAGGGUAAGCGAUAAAGCAGUGACUAUGCACAAUGACAGGAUUUUCAGGCCGCUGGGUCUCCCUUCUCAGGGACCCAAUGUUCUUUCCUCUGGCCCCAGGGCCCCGGUUUGGCAUCCCAGGCUAUGAGAGCCCUCACUUCUCUAUGCUUCGAGGGGAAGCCUUUCCCCCUAUCUCUGUCACCACUCAGAUCUUCCAUGCAUUGGAACUGAGGUGCCUGUUCUUCUGGGAAUGGGAAUGGGGGACAGGGGAAAGGAAGAAGCUAGGGCAGGAGAACCUGGAGUUUGUGCCAGGGCUUUUGGGCUUAAGUUCUUCAUUCGCUAAGGAAGGAACUGGACACACGAAGGUCACUCUGGAAGUCAUCAGUGGGGAAGAAAUGAAUGGAACCACCUUGGUGUUUCCCUUCCCCACAAAGAAAAUUACGGAUUUUGAGGAGACAUGCAGGUAA
Non-coding RNA from Saimiri boliviensis boliviensis (Bolivian squirrel monkey), 1319 nucleotides. The record is from RefSeq and is a predicted model, not a curated record. Lineage: Eukaryota; Metazoa; Chordata; Mammalia; Primates; Cebidae.